CCUACGGGAGGCAGCAGUGAGGAAUAUUGGUCAAUGGACGAGAGUCUGAACCAGCCAAGUAGCGUGAAGGAUGACUGCCCUAUGGGUUGUAAACUUCUUUUAUAUGGGAAUAAAACAGGGUAUGCAUACCCUCUUGUAUGUACCAUAUGAAUAAGGAUCGGGUAACUCCGUGCCAGCCGCCGCGGUAAUACGGAGGAACCGAGCGUUAUCCGGAUUUUUUGGGUUUAAAGGGAGCGUAGGUGGAUUGUUAAGGCAGGUGUUAAAGUUUGCGGCUCAAACGUAAAAUUGCAGUUGAAACUGGCAGUCUUGAGUACAGUAGAGGUGGGCGGAAUGCGUGGUGUAGCGGUGAAAUGCUUAGAUAUCACGAAGAACUCCGAUUGCGAAGGCAGCUCACUGGACUGCAACUGACACUGAUGCUCGAAAGUGUGGGUAUCAAACAGGAUUAGAUACCCUUGUAGUC
This 460-nucleotide ribosomal RNA is filed under the name uncultured bacterium. RNAcentral's name for it is "partial 16S ribosomal RNA". It matches the Rfam family "Bacterial small subunit ribosomal RNA", at positions 338 to 795 of the family's 1533-position model. The record is from RNAcentral.